UAGCUUUUUCAUGAUUCGGUGGAUGGUGGUGCAUGGCCGUUCUUAGUUCGUGGAGCGAUUUGUCUGGUUUAUUCCGAUAACGAGCGAGACUCUAGCCUACUAAAUAGUUGGCUCAUUGCUUCUGUGGGCACAACUUCUUAGAGGGAUUUUCGGUGUUCAGCCGCACGAAAUUGAGCAAUAACAGGUCUGUGAUGCCCUUAGAUGUCCGGGGCUGCACGCGCGCUACACUGGCAAAAUCAGCGUGCUUGUCCUUCCCCGGAAAGGGGUUGGUAAACCGGUGAAAAUUUGCCGUGAUUGGGAUCGGACAUUGCAAUUAUUGUCCGUGAACGAGGAAUUCCUUGUAGGGGCGAGUCAUCAACUCGCUCU
RNAcentral lists this ribosomal RNA (366 nucleotides) under Heterodera environmental sample. Its description in RNAcentral is "SSU rRNA". It matches the Rfam family "Eukaryotic small subunit ribosomal RNA", at positions 1252 to 1642 of the family's 1831-position model. The record is from RNAcentral. Lineage: Eukaryota; Metazoa; Nematoda; Chromadorea; Rhabditida; Heteroderidae.